CUACCUUAUGUGACGGCGGGCCUCUGACGCUGAUAUCGGGCACAGCUUACUUCCGGUUUCUGCUCGCACUAACAAAAUGCCUGGCGCGAAUUGGGUUUUGUUCGGAUGUUCCGCCUGCAAUAAAAGAAAUCGGGGUUGAUCAUUCUAUCGCUUACCCAAAAACAACAUAGAGUGGAGAGAGAAUCAUUACGUAUCAUACAGUCUACCAGAUCAGACCCGAUAAAUGACAAGACCUUGACAAUAUGUUCAAGACACGUUGAGCCGGAUUAUUUCGUUGAAAAAAUGUUUACAAAAAUUCUGGGUCCACAUAUCGAAGAUUAAAAGAAGGGUUAGGGAGACUAUCAACCUUAAUUCUUCUACAGAAAAGCGUAACAACAAAGAAAUUGAAUCCAAGGAAGUCACCGAGUCCAAGGAAAACCGAGGAAACUCAAUGUUUACAUAUGAACGAAGUAACCUUUCAGAUGUUGCAGAAAUCAUUUUUAUGUCAAAUGUCUGCUUUGUGGCUAUGUCAGUCUUCAAGUGAUUAUAUCUAUCUGUUUAAAACUGAAGAUAAAAGUGUAACAUACCAUUUAACCAUUGACAAGGACUUGAAUUGUGAAGUACAAUAUAAUAAUUUUUGUUUCCUGUUCAAAUUAAAGUUACAUCUAUAGAUUUACUUAUAAGAACUGUUGAGAAUAUGAAGAUAUGUGGGGGCAUAACAUCAAAACAUUUACAGUCUUAUUCUCAAUGUCAGCCUACAACUGUAAGAUAUAUCAGACAGGUUGAUAUUUUCAUGAACACAAAUAAGUCAACAUAGAAAUUACGAAAGCUGUGUACUUGCUUCUGUAUGUAAUAGUUUUGUUGAGGACACUCAAAAAGAAAUUUGUUUAAGUUGUCGACAGAUUAACAGAGAUUUACAGAGAAAGUAAAUAGUAAUAAUAAUAGUUUAUUUCACAUAUAUGGCUACAUAGCACAUUGCAUAUUCAGAUUUUGAUUGACAAUAUAUAAUUCAAAGAAUCAAUAUUUACAUACUUGUAAAUGUAAUUUACAAUUCAAAAAUAGCUUAGCAAUAAUAUAUAGUUGCCAUAUAAACGAGCAAACAGUGAUAGAAUAUAAUCAUGUGGUAUGAAUUUGAUUAAAAUGUAGAUUUCA
Molecule: long non-coding RNA, 1131 nt
Organism: Patella vulgata (common limpet)
Lineage: Eukaryota; Metazoa; Mollusca; Gastropoda; Patellidae
Exons: 3
Source: RefSeq, a predicted model, not a curated record